Molecule: ribosomal RNA, 195 nt
Filed under: Triticum aestivum (bread wheat)
Lineage: Eukaryota; Viridiplantae; Streptophyta; Magnoliopsida; Poales; Poaceae
Description: partial small subunit ribosomal RNA
Source: RNAcentral
ACCAUUGCAUCAUAUUAAGGCCAAAGGUUACCACUCCAGAUGAAAAUUGUUGAUGCACUUAAGUUGAUACCUGAUUUAGCCGAGCAAGAUAUGAUGCAAUGUUAUGGGAGGUUGGUACUUAAUGGUCGCCUGUUUCAAGCUUCGAUGGAGUUGCCCAUCACCAUGAGGAAGACAUGGUUGCUAAUGUUGCCUUGA